RNAcentral lists this transfer RNA (71 nucleotides) under Gongylonema pulchrum. It matches the Rfam family "tRNA". Rfam says of the family: Transfer RNA (tRNA) molecules are approximately 80 nucleotides in length. Their secondary structure includes four short double-helical elements and three loops (D, anti-codon, and T loops). The record is from Rfam by way of RNAcentral. Lineage: Eukaryota; Metazoa; Nematoda; Chromadorea; Rhabditida; Gongylonematidae.
GUGCCGGUAGUGUAGUGGUAACACAUUGAGUGCGAACGUGAAGAAGGGUGGUUCGAUUCCCUCCUGGUCCA